AAGUAGUUUCAUACAAUCAGAGCUUUACUCGACAUCCAUUGGUUGGAAACACAACAGUUAGCUUAACGGUUCAUUGGCUAAUUCCUGCAUGAAGAAUAACUUCACAUCCUUGAAGUUUGUAUGAAACAGAGGACGGUGUUUUCUAUGGACCCCUCCCCUUAAAGCCUUGUUUACCUGUGAACAACGACAGUGGAGACAGCCUGAGAGACACAGAGCUGAGGAAGUUUAAGGGAGAAGAAAUAAGGAGAUACGGUUUACAGGCGAUAAUUGUAAAAAGGAGAAUCAUAAAUGGAGCCAGGAUGUCUGAAGUGAUGAAAAUAAAGAUGGAAAACCCUGAAGGGGUCAGCUUGGAGUCUCCCAU
Molecule: long non-coding RNA, 361 nt
Organism: Cyprinodon tularosa
Lineage: Eukaryota; Metazoa; Chordata; Actinopteri; Cyprinodontiformes; Cyprinodontidae
Exons: 3
Source: RefSeq, a predicted model, not a curated record